UCCGCGAUAGCUCAGUUGGUAGAGCAGGCGACUGUUAAUCGCCCGGUCGUAGGUUCGAGUCCUACUCGCGGAGCCA
RNAcentral lists this transfer RNA (76 nucleotides) under Hyphomonas sp. RNAcentral's name for it is "tRNA-Asn". It matches the Rfam family "tRNA". From Rfam's summary of the family: Transfer RNA (tRNA) molecules are approximately 80 nucleotides in length. Their secondary structure includes four short double-helical elements and three loops (D, anti-codon, and T loops). Lineage: Bacteria; Pseudomonadati; Pseudomonadota; Alphaproteobacteria; Hyphomonadales; Hyphomonadaceae. The record is from RNAcentral. RNAcentral also lists the same sequence under 45 other names.